GCUGCCCACUGAGGGAAAGGAGCCAUGGAAAAGUGUGCUAGUUCAGGUCUUCAGAGAAACAGAAGCCAGGACAGGAUUCAGCAUGUGAGGGUUUUAUUAGGGAGAAACCUGUGGGACAGGUGAUGAGGUGGGAGCCAGCUUAGUCUGGGAGAGUGUCAGACCAGGGUGUGUGUUGACCCAGGAGGGAAGGAGGGCAGAUCCCAGGACUCUGCAGCCCCUGAACGAUCCAGCAAGGCCACUGGGAAGUGCUGCAGUCAAAACCAGCUGUCAGUGGAGUCCCUGGUGUCCACUUAGUCACUGCGGGGGAGUAGCUUUUGGUGGGUGGCCUGCCUCUGGGCAGACACAGCAAGGCCGUCUCCAGACCUGGCUUCCUUAUUCUCUUUGCACUUGGAGGUGUGCGGGGCCACGACCAUAUUGGGAACCAAAGGUACCCAGAAAGCUUGGUGCGAGUCAUCUCAUUUGUUUUCCUUGCCAGUUGGAUCAAGCUUUUCAUUUCUACCUAGAGGUGAAACUACAGCAAACAACAAAUAGAAUCGAUUGCAGUCUCCCAUUGGCUGUUAACAAGUUUGUGAGCAAGGGUGUCUCCAAUGUGAAGCAUUUUUGCAAUUACUCCUCAUAA
This 619-nucleotide long non-coding RNA is filed under the name Fukomys damarensis (Damara mole-rat). Its description in RNAcentral is "lncRNA (ENSFDAG00000033188.1)". Lineage: Eukaryota; Metazoa; Chordata; Mammalia; Rodentia; Bathyergidae. The record is from RNAcentral.